GAUGAAGAACGUAGCGAAACGCGAUAAGUAAUGUGAAUUGCAGAAUUCAGUGAAUCAUCGAAUCUUUGAACGCACAUUGCGCCCGCCAGUAUUCUGGCGGGCAUGCCUGUCUGAGCGUCAUUUCAACCCUCAUGCCCCUAGGGCGUGGUGUUGGGGAUCGGCCAAAGCCCGCGAGGGACGGCCGGCCCCUAAAUCUAGUGGCGGACCCGUCGUGGCCUCCUCUGCGAAGUAGUGAUAUUCCGCAUCGGAGAGCGAUGAGCCCCUGCCGUUAAACCCCCAACUUUCCAAGGUUGACCUCAGAUCAGGUAGGAAUACCCGCUGAACUUAAGCAUAUCAAUAAGCGGAGGA
RNAcentral lists this unclassified non-coding RNA (348 nucleotides) under soil metagenome. RNAcentral's name for it is "partial contains 5.8S ribosomal RNA, internal transcribed spacer 2, and large subunit ribosomal RNA". The stretch from base 1 to 120 matches the Rfam family "5.8S ribosomal RNA", at positions 35 to 154 of the family's 154-position model. The record is from RNAcentral.